RNAcentral lists this long non-coding RNA (702 nucleotides) under Gossypium barbadense (sea-island cotton). RNAcentral's name for it is "long non-coding RNA (GBAR_LNC017291)". The record is from RNAcentral. Lineage: Eukaryota; Viridiplantae; Streptophyta; Magnoliopsida; Malvales; Malvaceae.
CAACAGUCAACCGUCGCCGCCGUUUCAAUGGAUUCAAAGCCCCUUCAACCCCGAUCUGAUCGGAGCAAAUGGGGUUUCUCGUCUCCUUCCCGCAAGUAAGUAUUCCUUUUCUCCCUUUUCGUGUAUUUAAAAAAAAUGAAAAAAAGAUUCGGGUAAAAUAAAUAGAAAAGAAAUUGAAGUUCGAAAAAAAACUAUCAACCUUUUGAUUUUUUUUGAUUGAUCUUUGCUUUUUGGUACAUUAUUUGCUAUGAAAAUAAUAACUUUUUUUUGUAUUGAUUUUCGAUCCCCCAUUACAGUAUCGUCAAUGGCUUUAUAUAGCCAUAAUAUAUAAAAAAUAUAGAAAUAAAAUCAUGUUUACAUUGAUUUGAUUCUCAAUCUCUUGCUUUCCUUCCAUAUUUUGCUUUCUUUCCUUGUUGUGCAGGUGAAGAUCGAGGCUGAGAUUCGUGGCUGCGGCGCUUGAGGAUUUCCCUAGAACCCCUAGGGUUUCUGACUAUCGUUUUGGGCAUUUGGGCCACACAUAAUUGGGCCACCGUGCUUUGGGCCCCUGUUGUAUUUUGGGUUUGGGCCAUAUAGGCCAAUUGUAAUUUGGGCCCUUUUAGGCCCGGGCAAAAUCAGUUAUUACAAGAACAACAAAGAGCCUAUAUACAUGCCACAUCCCAAAACAAAAAUACCAAAAGCUACCAAAUGACUGGAUAGUGUGAG